This 499-nucleotide long non-coding RNA is filed under the name Nicotiana benthamiana. Its description in RNAcentral is "long non-coding RNA (NBEN_LNC004330)". The record is from RNAcentral. Lineage: Eukaryota; Viridiplantae; Streptophyta; Magnoliopsida; Solanales; Solanaceae.
AUUCGGUUCGGAUAGACUUCAUUCAAGAAUGCCACCGCCCCGGGAAUCAAUAAGAAAACAAGUGCUAAGUUUCAGAUCAGUGAAUAAACCGAAAGGAAAGAAGAGACCUUUCUCGCUCAGCGCCUAAAGCGCACUAUGCUCCGCUUCAACAAAUGAGAGUUUUCGGUGGAACCGGUGAACCACGCGAGCUGGUUAGAUGCGUGGGACAGAGGGCUCGUAGUACCUGCUAGCGCGGCUACGCAGUGGAAGGGAAGGAGCCUAAAUCGACCCCCCUCUUUUUUUCUUUGAAAAAAGCAGUAAGGAGUAAGGAGAUUAAACUCUCGGAUGAGACUAAGCAGCUACCGACCGUUAGUUUCAGAUGAGUGAAUAUACUAAAAGGAAAGAAGACACCUUUCUCGCUCAGCGCCUAAAGCGCACUAUGCUCUGCUUCAACAAAUGAGAGUUUUCGGUGGAACCGGUGAACCACCCGAGCUGGUUAGAUGCGUGGGACAGAGGGCUC